CGGACGGGUGAGUAACGCGUGAGAAUCUAGCUUCAGGUCGGGGACAACCACUGGAAACGGUGGCUAAUACCGGAUGUGCCGAAAGGUGAAAGGCUUGCUGCCUGAAGAUGAGCUCGCGUCUGAUUAGCUAGUAGGUGUGGUAAGAGCGCACCUAGGCGACGAUCAGUAGCUGGUCUGAGAGGAUGAUCAGCCACACUGGGACUGAGACACGGCCCAGACUCCUACGGGAGGCAGCAGUGGGGAAUUUUCCGCAAUGGGCGAAAGCCUGACGGAGCAAUACCGCGUGAGGGAGGAAGGCUCUUGGGUUGUAAACCUCUUUUCUCAGGGAAGAAAAAAAUGACGUACCUGAGGAAUAAGCAUCGGCUAACUCCGUGCCAGCAGCCGCGGUAAUACGGAGGAUGCAAGCGUUAUCCGGAAUGAUUGGGCGUAAAGCGUCCGCAGGUGGCUAUGUAAGUCUGCUGUUAAAGAGUGAGGCUCAACCUCAUAAGAGCAGUGGAAACUACAUAGCUUGAGGGCGUUCGGGGCAGAGGGAAUUCCUGGUGUAGCGGUGAAUUUCUUAGAUCAGGAAGAACCCCGGUGGCGAAAGCGCUCUGUAGCCGCAACUACAGUGAGGACGAAA
Molecule: ribosomal RNA, 619 nt
Filed under: Calothrix sp. LCRSM-50G
Lineage: Bacteria; Bacillati; Cyanobacteriota; Cyanophyceae; Nostocales; Calotrichaceae
Description: bacterial SSU rRNA
Rfam family: Bacterial small subunit ribosomal RNA
Source: RNAcentral